Callithrix jacchus (white-tufted-ear marmoset) is the source of this 12209-nucleotide non-coding RNA. The record is from RefSeq and is a predicted model, not a curated record. Lineage: Eukaryota; Metazoa; Chordata; Mammalia; Primates; Cebidae.
GGGUGGGAGGUCCUAUAGGGGGCGCCGCGUUGGAACGCCCAAAGAGGUUGUGCUGAUGAGGUGGUUGAAAGCGGUUGGUGGGCGGGUAUAUGGCGGCUAGGCCUGGAAGGCCACGAGGACUGCUAGCGCCGUAGGGUCAGGCUUCCUCAUGCCACUGGUCACCGAGGCUUGGGGGAGAGAUGGGGUCCCAGGGGCCAACCCUUGGGCGCAUUGAUGGCGGCAGGCUAACCUGGCCAACAGGGUGCCGCUGCCGGGCGAGGCGAGGAGCAAGAAGAUUUCCAGGGCUGGGAGGUAGAGGGCCAGGACCCCGAGGAAAGGGCUUCUGCGAGGAGCAACCCAGGAUGGAUAAGGAGUUGAGGCCCCAGGGAUGCUGAGCCUGCACAAGUGGAAGUGACUGGCUACCAGACUCUGAAAAACCUAAGUGUUUUAGGUGAGUGGAGCUAAGAGCUGAAACAUCAGCAUGGGGUCAGGGACCCCAGAAGUGUGGCCAAAUGUUUGAAGAGUUGACCCACCUGAAAGGCAACCGGUGGUCAGGCCACAGGGACCUGAGGAAUUCAGUAUGGUCAACAGAGAACUUGGCUACGUUGCACUUCUCUACGAGGCAACCAGUGUGUCCCCCCACCAGCAGUGCCUGAGGAUUUGUCUCCCAUCCCAGAGGGUGGUGCUAGCACCACUGUCUUCCUUCCGGUAGAGCAAACAGUAAGACCUGUAGCAUCCCCAGACCCUCUGAGUUAGGAGAGGAGAGGGCUUGGAGCUGUUUUCCUGCUCUGAUUGUGGGGUUGGGUUUCUGAGGCCCAUGACCUUGGCUUCGUCUAUAUUUUCUCUAGCCUGUCAAGAAAAGAAUUUGAACUUCAGUGAAAUAUAUCUCAGAAAUUUGCCACAAGGAGAGGGCUAGGGGAAACCUAACUAAAAGAUGUUAGAAAAGAGAGGCCAAGCGUAUCCUAGGUUCUGUGUCCAGUUUCUUUUAGUUGUUCAUGAAGGUGACUGAUCUGUUUUAGAAAUAACCUAGUUCAGCCGGGUGCGAUUGUGCCACUAUACUUGAGUGAGACUCUGUAAAAAGAAAAUGGAGGGAGGGAGGGAGGGAAGUUCAAACUGCCAUUGGUGAACUCUUAAGGUGCUCUGAUUACAAGGCAUGUAUUUCUCCUUCUCAUUAUUUGACUGUUUUAAACCCAAAUCUACUUUUCUAAUCCAGGAUCUAGACAGUUUAAGUAGGGAAAGGCCUCAAUUUAAAGAAUGCUUCCUCCAGCCUUUGAGGUUCACGUCUCUGUUCCCCUUGGCCUCCCCGCCCCCCUCCCAACUUGUUGUGGGCACAGAUGAGUUGGUCAUGGUGGAUAACUAGGGUUUCCCUAAAAUUUGUCAACCAGCCAGGACAUUUUUAAGCAUGAAAGGCAGUGCCAACCAGGGGGAUGCUGGGAUGACAGGCAGAGCAGGCUGUCUGGGCCCCCCCAGUCCUUCCAUCAUGACAGCAUCAGUGUUGUUAAUAGUAGUAUGGACAACAUUGCAAAAAACUGUACACGCUCAGUAACAUAACUAUAAAAAUAAUUAGUAUUAAUGUUAUAUUAUUAUUAGCACUUUUCAAAGAGAAGUAACCUCCCUUCUCCCACUAUUUUUAAAUAGACUUCAGUGAGCUGAAAGUUCUGCCAUUGAGAGCACUUAUUCAGUUGGGUGAACUAUUUGCAUGAAGGUGACAUUUGCUCAUCUGUCUUUCUUGCUGAAGUCAUCGUCUAAAGGUAAGCAAAAGAGCAAGCUCAGGAAAAAGAAAAUGAUGCACUCUCAGAGACCUUUUCCUGGGGCUGCUGAUUGGGAGACACGAGGCCUGUGGCCACCAGUUGUCAGUGGCUUUCUGUAGCAGCAGCAGCAGUAGCAGCAGCAGCAGGGACUCUGGGCUUCCACGCUCCUUUCUCACCCAUGUGGGGAGCAACACAGUCUCUUCUAGCAGGGAUGGGAUGCCCCGCAGCUCUGGGCCCUGAAGAGAGUAGAGGUCCAUUCAGACUGGGGGCUGCUGGCCUAGGGUUAUGAGUGGCUUUUGUUGGCAGAGACUACAGUUAAAACCAUCUAAGUAUGAAAGUACCUUAGAAAUUAGAACAAAAAUUACAGUCCCUUAGGAGUAUCGAGGUCGUUUUCGCUCAGACUUCAAUUGUUUUCACAUAGCCUGAACAGUUUUUGCCAUAUGCCUGUACUGAAACUGCACUUGACAGUUUUCUCUACGUCAGCUAUUUCUUCAUGUCAAAACAUUUGUUGUUAAAGGAAAAUUAUACAACUGCUAUUGAAAGAUUACCAGUGUCCCUGGAUUCUGGUUAAGUAUUUUAAAAAUGCACAUGAAGCCAAGUGCCUGCUCUGAAAAAUGGCAUUGUGGCCCAUGUCCCUCCAGGUGCGGCCCUGACCACCUCCUUGAUCCUGUCCCCAUCUACCCAGUCUCUUCACUGACCUGAGAAACAUUUGUCUGGACUCUAGGAGAUGGUAUGAGAGGUGGUCUUAUAUGACACAAAUAUUUCCCACCUUGGGGACUAAUGAGGUUUUGCUGCCAGUAUCUACUCAGGUGCUUCUUAGCUGAGGAGUGGUAGGAAGAGUUCUCAUUCCAACCAGCGGAAGCCUGUUGAGUUUCAACAGGGCUAAAUUACUUGGGGCACAUUUUCUUCCCAUGACAUUUGUUGUCUAAUAAUAAGUCAACAGAUGGGGUUGUCUCAGUCUGCCUUUACUAUGACAUUUGCUCCCACUUCACAUGUUUAUGUUUGCAGAUGCAGCCAGGAAACAGUCCAUAGAGCUGUGUAUUAAACCCCAGCGAGAUGAGCCCAGCCACUUUUCACUUCCUGCUGGCACACUCUGAAGUGGUGUUCCAGCCAGAAGGCCUCUCACAGAAGCCACUCGCUCACCUUUGUUCUCACUCCCAGCUUUUCUGCAGAUUGGGUGGGGGGAGCUGGGUCUGUUCUCCCAUUGUGCUCUCUGUUGUUGAUGAGAUGCCAGAAAGUACAAUGCUCUCAUCAAGUUCAAAAGUAGGCAAAGCCAGGUAAUGCAUACAUGAUAAAAUGUUUACGGCGAGCAUAUGAUAAAACCCAGCUUCUGUAUUUGGUUCCUUCUGGUGGGGAAGACCGCAGGAGUAGGAGAAGGACAUACUGGUAGAUGAAGUUCCUGGCUGUGUUCUUUCUUGGGUUGGGCUGAAAGGUUCACAGGGGUUGCUGACAGUAUUUUCAAAUACUAGGUUUAAAGUAUAUAUUUGGACUGCCGCCGUGGGUCAAUGGUAUGGGACAGCUGAAACCAGUCCAGGGCAUUUGGGGAAUGGUAGACCUACUGUGCUGUGGCAAGAGGAGGUUGUGAGGCUGAGCUGUUGGGACCAGUGUGGUGGGACUUUGCUCGCCCUUCUUCUUUCUAUACAAACUAAGAACCCUCCGAAGAGUUCUUAGCACAUACUAGGCCCUCAGUAAAUAUUUGCUGAACAAUUUUUCACAUGUGUAUUUUUAAACUUGUUGUUUUGGAAAUUUUCAAGCACACCAAGGCAGAGAGGAGGCCAGCAAGCCCUGGAGCGCAGCUGCGCUGCCCAUCAGCUUCUGCUUCUCUGGUUUCCUCUGUCACCCCCACCUUUUGUUCUGGAGGCUUCACAGCAAAUCCCAGAAAUCGUAGUGUUUCACCCCUGGCAGUUUUGGACAGUAGAGUAGGUUCUUCUCUUCUUUCUUUAUGGGGUCUUUUGGGAUAUGUUGAAGGUGACUUCUUCCUCCCCAAAGAGAGCAUGUCAGGAAAACGAAGCCUCCUGUCUGUAUCUCCCUGUGAGGGGUUCCUCAUUGCACAGGUGUGUCCUUGGCUGUGCAUUUGUGCUGGGCAUUGUGCUGGACCCACGCAUCAGUGAUGAGAGAGGAAGCCUCUGGCCUGGGGCCUCCGUGCUAGUGUAGACUGAUGACACGGUCAGGGGAGCAGACUCUUGCUCCUGUGAGCACUAGGAGUGUUCUACUGUGACCACCCAUCUUUUGAACCCCCUUUCACCACUCCCGAGUUGAUCAUUGGUGAUUUCCCCCAUUGCCAAGGCAGAGUGGACAUUUUCAGCAGACAGUACCCAAGGGGACUGCAGCCCUGCCCCUUCUGAUGGAAGGUACAUUGGGAACAUGCAGAGCACACAUCAGGGUGAUGUCAGUUGUCCCCAUCCACAUGGAAAGACCUGGCCCCAGCCAGCUGCUGGGCCUCUUUGCACUGUAUUAAUAGCAAGGCCAUGGGGCCCACUGGGGUCGGGAGACAGGGAGAGGACAGCUGUGAUGGACAUCACCCCAUGCUCCAGGCAUGUGCUUCCGUCACAGGCGGGCACAGAUGGCUGCACCUUGGCCUGCCGCUCCAAAGCCCCCCAAACCUUGCCAGCCUUCUUGUAGGGGCAGGAAUUGGCUUGCACUGAUGACCCAUUUGACAAAGGAGCUAAAUUACAAAUGGCAUGAUUGGAAUAGAGGGUUCCAGUGGCCCCGUGUUCAGGGUCAGUUUAUGCUUUUAUUGGAUACACAGGCAUGGGGGCUGAAUGAGGCAGUGGUAUUUAAACAGCUGGGGGUAUUGGGUUCUAUAUGCCAAGGCUAGACAGAGAGUUUUAAAUGUCACAGGCCAAAUGGAAGCUCAGUUGGCAGCAGGACGGAGUGGCAGGGGGAUUUGGAGGCCACUGCCUCGCUGUGGCUAGAUAUGGCCAGGAGAGCCGAGUGGGAUUAGGGCCUGGGAAGAAGCCCAGCAUGUGGAGUGCUGGUGAAGAGGUAGCAGGAAGGGUCAUAUGAGUGAGCACCAGGCGCCAGGGAUGGCGGGCAGGAGCACAGGUGCUGGGGCCAGUGGCAGGCAGAACUGUAUGAAAGCACCAAGGACAGGGCCAGAGGGGAGAGGUCAGAGCCCAGCCCUAGCUCAGGGGGACAGGUAGGAGCAGAGCCUGUGGUUCAGGGCCCUAUUCUGGCAUCAGAGAGAUGUGAGUGCUAACCUCAGCACCCCACUUUCCAUCCCGGGGCCAAGGCAGUUUCCUGACUUCAGGGAAGGGGCCAGGAGAGGAUUAAGUAAGAACAAGCAGCACGUGACACUCAGAAAGGUGAUCGCUGCUAUUAUUAAUAGUAAAAAUUCAUUGGUGACCAGCCGCCAUUGUGGAAUGGAGCCGGAAGCUGCUCUCCAGGCCUGCUCCCACCCAGAGACGCUUUCAGCCACAUAGGAGUUCCUUUAAGGAUGAAUGAUGACAACCACCAACGGCUGGGUAUCAGCAGAUUUUACAGAAACUUUUGGCCAUUUGACUUUUCCUGGCCUCAUGGAGCCUCUAGUUUUCUGGGUCCUGCCUCUUCAUGUCGGUAGACAACCAUAGCUCGGGGAUGGCUGCCCCCUGUUGGCCAGCAACGCAUGCACCCGGCGCCUGCCACCACCUGUGCCUGUCACUUAUUUAUCUCUGAGUGGGGCCUGGCCUCCCUAGGCAUUCGCACUUGCUCGCUCCCUGCAGUACAGUGGAGCUAUUAUUAUCUUACAAGAAACAAGGGUCAUCAUCAGAACUGGGCAGGGGCCCAGCAACGACGUUCUGGCUGGCGCCUCCUUGCCUUUGCCGUGACACUGGUCUGGGAGACUUGGCUGAUGGAUGAGCAUUGAGUGGCCAGGUCUGGGGAGGGGACGGCAAAGGAAGGCGGGCAGUGAGCUUCCACCAGAGGCUAGGCCGGGGCUGUGGAUCCAGCAUGGCUACCUGCUUUCCUCUUGGUGGGCCCCUAAGUAACCUGAACAGAGCACCACAGGGCUAGGGCAGUUACCAUGGCAACAUAACAUCUGUGCGUCCCUGGGCCUUCCUCAUUUUUGUUGAGGUGAGGAUGGCUUAGGAAAGCUGGAGGAGGCCCAGGCUGGUCUUAACCCUGGGUCUUGCUUUUCAGCACAAGGGAUUCAAGGGAGGAAGGGAGUUUCUGUUGGGGCUUUUGUGGGCCUCAGGCCCCUGUGUUCAUCCCUAUUUGUAUUCAGAACUCCCUCCUUUUCCUUAGUGGUUCAGAGUUUCUCUUGCUCAUCCAGGCCUCAGAGAAGAAUCCAUGGUAGCUGUGACCAUGGUAGUUGUGACCAUAGCUAGGCCUUAAUUCCUUCAGGGCCAUCUACAUGAAGGCUUAGAACAUCCCCUCAUCUUCUGAAGAAGUGCAAGUCUCCUCCUGUGGGCUUCCAGGGAACACUAGCGUUAACCUGUGCUCACAUGGCCUGCCCUACGCUCAGGCUUCUUGGCACAGAGAAUCCCUUUCUCUUACUGAUUUGUGGUGCAUACCCUGUUCUAGGCAUUAGAGGAAUGCAUUAAUUUUUGUACUCUUCAUAGCAACCUCAUGGGGAAGCUGAGGCACACCCAGGUCAAAUAGCUUGCUUGGGCAGGAAAGUUAUGGAGUCUGGAUUUGAACUCCAGUGGUUGGUCAGGCUCCAGAGGUCCUUUCAAACCCCUGCCCUCAAAUGCUGCCUGGAAAAUGAUGAGGCUGAUGGAGGGGCCUGAGGUGAUGCUCUAAUGAGUCAGGAGCCCAUCAAGUCACAGGAGCUGGGGAAAGAGCACACUGGACAGAGGGGACAGCCUGUGGAAAGUCCCUGAGGUGUGAAAGAGCGGGCCAUGAGCUGUAGGGAAGCAGGAAACCAGUCUGGCUGCAGGAAGUGAGCAGGGGCCAGGGAAGAAGGUGGGUGGCCGAGGAGACUGCAGGGCAGCCCAUGGCUGUGGCACUGAGGUCUGAUUCCAAGUGUAGUGGGAAGCCCUGAGGCCUCUGAGCAGGGCCCUGACAGCCUGAAGGUCUCCCCAACUAGAAGAUGGAAUUCUUGUGGUAAGAGGAGGGCAGGGAGAGCAGGAGCUGAGCUGAGCUGCCCCACAUUAGGUAGCUGGGUUCUGUUCACUGAAGGGGGUCUAAUAUAGUUUGGCUCUGUGUCCCCACCGAGAUCUCACCUGGAAUUGUAACUCAAAAUUCACACGUGUCUUGGGAGAACCCAGUGGGAGGUGAUUAAAGUAUGGGAGCGGGGUCUUUCUUGUGCUAUUCUCAUGAUAGUGAAUCUCACGAGAUCUGAUGAUUUUAAAAAACAGGAGUUUGCCUGCACAAGCUCCCUCUCUUUGCCUGCUGCUGUCCAUGUAAGAUGUGACUUGCUCCUCCUUGCCUUCCACCAUGAUUGUGAGCCACCCCCAGCCACAUGGAACUUUAAGUCCAAUUAAACCUCUUUCUUUUGUAAGUUGCCCAGUUUCAGGUAUGUUUUUAUCAGCAGUGUGAAAAUAAACCAAUACAGGGUCCAUCUGGGAGAGGCUGCCUUUCUCUGAGGCCUCUUGCUUGGCAGUGUAGAGAAGGUUUGCUGGUGCUUCUGGAAUUUUCCUUGGCCCUUUGGGACUCAGCCUGUAGUCAGAGCUGGUUCCCUAGACCGUAGAUGGGGCACCCUUGGAGAGCUUCCUGGGGUGGGUGUCAAGGUGCUGUGUGUGGCUCUGGAGAUUUGGCCUCUGGUGCCUCCCUCCCCUCGUCAACCUGGUGCUUCUGAAGGGCUCAGCUCAGCCUCAUCUUGGCAGCUAAGCCAGGAGGCAGGGCCUUGUGGGUUUCAUGUUUUUAUUUCUUGAUAGGUGAGGAAAUGAGCUCACCUGUGUGGCUCAGUGGUCAGUGCCCAAGGCUGCAUCUCCAGUUCCAUGACGAAAACACCAGGUCAGGUGCAUGAGUGGCUGGCGCUCACUGUGGCAACGCCAUGAAGGCAUCUCUUUGCCAUUUUUGGUGCCCCCACUGGAGCAGGCAUCUGAAUUCUGGUGAUUGAGAACCUAGGGGCUCUGGUGGGACACAGAGUGUCCAAAUUCCUCUCCACUGGAUGGCACAGCUGCAGUGAUCGUACUGACCAGCAUUCGUUCGACCCUUUCCCCAAGAAGGUCGCCUGCGGUGGGGAUGUGAGGACCCCUUUGUCUUGGGCACCUGUUGGACCUGAGGCUGGGUCUCAGCUGUUCUACCUCACACUGAGGUUGUGGUCACCUGUGUGGGCCUGGGUUGUUUUUGUCUAUGACAAAGGUUGGGACCAGAGGUAGGUGGGUUCACCUGCUCUACCAUUUCACGAUGGGCUGGGUCGCAUGCUCACUUGCCUGGUUUCUGCUUGGGUUCCCGUUCCUUGCCCUGGCCCUGCAGGGUCCAUGGAGUACCACAGCCCUACCUCCUUCCUCCUGCCAACCAGAGGACUGCAAAACAGGCUUCUCUAAGCCUGGCUCCUUGCACUCUGUUCUUGAGGGCCCUGAAGAAGUUGAAUCUGGGUAAGAUGGCUUGUCUCAGAUCACACACAAAGGCCCUGGAGAUUAGGACUCCACAUCCAUUUCAUUGAAAUCUGCUCUCCCCCAUCAGAAAAAGAGCCACGUUUUCAAAACUAUAACUGCCUUUCUCUUAAAUCAACAAUAAACAAUAGGCUAAAAUUUGCCCAUAAAAGUAAGUUUCUCUGAUGGCCGUUCUGGGCAUUGGAAGCAAGACAUCAAGCUGAAGUGUGACCGAGGGGAUCACGCCGCGGGUGAGUGUGUGUGCCUGGUUUUGUUUCUGUUAUUAAUCCUUUGCCCUGUUUUUCUCUUUCUUUUUAUCCCAAACCUGUCUGUUUCCAAGGGUCCCUGGAGCCUUCUGCAGCUGUGCCUCUCCAUCAUUAGUGCCAUGUUCCUGGUUUGAAAACCAUGGUACUUCAGCCUCUUCUAGAUGGGAGUUAAACUUUGCCCUCUGAAGGAAAGGUUUGAUAAGCAAAGAGUGUUUGGUAAACAAGAUCCUUGUGGAGGUAAGAGCAGGUCUCUGAGUCCACCGGGACCCGGCUGCUCUACAGGUUUCUGUAUCACAUUUUCCGCACAUGUCCAUUCGAGCUGGAGUUGGGCGUGUCUAGUUUUGAAUGCACCCUCUUCAGAUGCACCUGCCACUCAGAGCCUACUGUAGAGUCACCACUGGGCUUCUUUAGAAAUGGCUCGAUUCAUUCUUGGUAGUAACCCUACUACCCACAGGCACCUAAAAUCAGAGGACUUUUGGUAGCUGGUUACCACCAAACCUCCUCAGACAAUACAUAGGAGACUCCAAACCAGUUGCUAUUUAAAAAAAAAAAGGCAGCAGAGCAGUCAUGGAGCAGACCCUUCUUACUGCUGCAUAUGAGACGAUCCCAUGGAAUGCAGGAAGCCACAGGUUUAUUCACGUGUGCUCUGUGGUUAGAUUUCUAGCCUUCCUCUUCCUGAGGAGGUCCCUAGAGAGAGCAAGUCUGAGGCCUCACCAUUGUUCCUUCACUGGCAGCACUCAAGAGUAAUCCUCAAAGACCUCCCCCUCCAGCCCUAGCUGGGUUCCUAACUUUCCAGCUAUUUCAUAUCUGCUUUGUGAAUGUUUCCAGGCAGAGUGGCCAGACUGACUUGCACUGACAGUUCUCAUCAGCCAGUCCCAUCCUCCUAGAGAAAUCCGGAAUCAGCCACAUGAACCCGACGCUAGAGGCCCGUCAGCACUGGAGGACACGAGAGAAGCAGCUCAGGUCUUCAGCAGAAACAGGAUGGUUCUCCCAGUGGUUGAUCUCCACUGUGAGGAACUGGCCUGCCGCUUUGCUGGGGAGUGAGCUGCCAGCUUCUCUUUGAUGUGCUGCGUUUGUUGAGAACCAGGCAGGGGUGCUUCACCAUGGCAUCACUUGAAUUAGGCAAUGGUUCAUGGACUCUUCUCUGGGGGCCCCACACGAAACAUCAUUAGCACAGACCUGCCACUCAGAUCAAGGUAGCCAGAAGAGCCAUCAGAGAAUAGCCUUCAGAAGAAGAAUGGCAAGGCCAGACGGCAGCGCAUGAGGCCAGGGCAGAGCCACGGUGAACUGUCGAUGGCGUCCUGAGCCUGCUGCCAAGGCCGCCUAGGAGCUGAGACAGAGAUGGAGUGGCUGGGAGGCGAGUUUGAUGUGCAUGUUUGGGUAGAGGGCCUUGGCUGAGCACCGCAUGAGCCUUUGUGCAGAGAGGGCCCGUGUCCAUGGAUCUGGGGUCCACCAUGGGCCACUGAGAUGGGGCAGGGCUAGGAGGGUGAAGGAGGGGAGAUUCUGAGUAACAUUGUGAAAUUGGGCCCAACUUUGCAUGGAAGGUGAGAGAAAGGACCCUUCCGGAGGGCCCCCCCUCAAUCCUGUUGUGCCUGAUUCAGAGGGUUGGGUGGAGGCUCUCCCGAAGGGCUCUAGAGAACACCGCACCCACAGCCAUGCUGAGAGUGGGGAGGGCAGUCGAUGUAAGAGGGGCCUGUCAUGUCACCUGCCAAGUUCCCUGGGGUGGCCGGGGGCUGGGGAGUGGUAACCUCGCUGUGCCACUCCUCUGCCACAGUCUCCCAUGGGUCCCCACUGCUGGCAUUGUCACCCACCCCCCAGCCUCAGCAGCAAGCACCUACAGGAUGCAGUGCCACCCCCCCCACCUGCGUCCCCGUUCUCCUCCCUGAGGCUCCCUUCACCCUCACUGCCCCCUCCUUGGGAAGGCCUCCCCUCCUUCCUCCACCUCACAGCAUGCAGGGCCUGGGGCUUCUGCUGGGGGCACUCAUCUGUUGCCCACCCCAGCCAGGGCAAGGCCAUAGCUGCCUUGUGGAUUGUUCUGUUGCCCAGCUUGUUUCCACAUGUGGUAUCCAGCAGGUGCCUAAUAAACUUGUGUAAAAAGAGUGGUGGAUGUUUGCUCUUUUAUUUAUUCUAAAUAGAGCCCAGCUCUGCCUGCUAUAGUCCUUGAAGCAAGUGCAUUGUCUGACAGUCUUGGGUUGCUUCUGACCCAUGGUGGCUGCCUGGGGGUCCUGCUGGAAACGUGGCACCCCCCACUCCUGCGUGGAACCGGUUGUCCCCACUGUGAUUCCUCUCGCUGCAGAUGGCCCCGCCUCAUGGCAUCAACACAGUGGGGAGUUCCGGGCUCACCGUGCUGGCGCCUGCCUUCCUCCCCCGCCACCAGACUAGACCACAAAGGGCAGGACUUUAUCACACACUCAGGACAGAGCAGGUCUCGGGUUCUUGCAGGAUGGACCAAUGGAUAGGUGGGUGGACAGAGCAAAAAGAUGAAAAGACAAGAAAACGGGGGUUUGACAGGCAGGGUGGCCUGACCCUCCCUGUGUGGACAAGGCUUGGUGGGAGACAUUGGGCAUGGCUAGGAGGACUUGGGGUUCAAGGUGUCCCCACAGUCCUGAGCACAGAAGCAAGGGUGAGCCUCCUUCCUGCUAGAACUGGCAGAGUUUCCAAAAUGAAGUCUGGACCCACAGGAGUAGUGACACUUCCCCCACUGCAAGAACGCCACUCAGAUUUGAAAAUUCUGGGGGCUCAGGGACCCCUGAAGUCCAUUCUUGAGCCUUUCCACUAGCCGUGUCCUCCCUUGGGCAGGGGAAAGGGGGCCAGAGGGGAGCUUCCCCACAGCCCUCUCUGCAGAGGCUGCGGGGCACAUGCUGGCUCCUUGCUGGGUGCUGUCAGCAGAGGUGCCGGGAGACAGCAGGCCAGGAAACCCUCUGCCCCCAGCCUAAGUCAGUCCCAUGAGUUAUACCAGCCAGGCCCCACAGCAGACUAGACGGAAAAGACCUUGGGAGAAUGAGGUAAAAGGUCUGAGGUGCUGGGAAAAGCCAGGAAGAGAGCAGAGAGGCCUUCGCUUAGGCAGGUGCCAACCCCAGAGGCGCAGGCCUUGGGGCACAGCUCAGGGCAGGGCUGGGGUGUGGGUGCCCCCUGCUUGUGCCAAGGCCAGGACUUCAGCCCUCUCUUCUGGGUGUCCCCCAUGUCUGGGCUGUGCCACAGCACAGUUCAUGGGUGCCCAGGAAGGGGAGAGGAAGCCCCACCCUCAGGCCCUGCAGCCCUCACUGCCCCUAGCCCUGCUGCAGGGUCGGGCCUCCCUUCUGUCAUGCCACCUGCCACUCACCCCUCUCUCGGGAAAACCCACUGUAAUUCCCUUCCAAGGCUGACCAUCUGGUGGCUUCAGCCCCAUUCCAGCUCCCCUUUCCCCCUGGGAUCAUUAGACACCAAGCCCUGCCGAGGAGGCUGGCUACAUGGGAGUGGAACAUGGCAACCACAGAAAGAGGGAAGAGCCUCUUCUGGAGGGAAAAGAAAGACCACCAGCAGGAAAUGAAGUGGGCAGGGGAACGGCAGGGGCUUUCCCGGGCUUCCCUCCUACCUCACCUGUGCACCCCAGGCCUUCACCCCAGCACUGCUGACCUUCGGGUCUGGUUCCAGCUCUGGUAGGGGCCACCCUGGGGAUUGUGGGGUGUUCAGCAGCUUCCCCAAGCUAGAUGCUAGGAGCCACCACCACCAGCGCCAAAAAAAGAUAGAUGCCUUUGCUACAUGGCUGGUUGCUC